This 1428-nucleotide long non-coding RNA is filed under the name Cyclopterus lumpus (lumpfish). RNAcentral's name for it is "lncRNA (ENSCLMG00005000460.1)". The record is from RNAcentral. Lineage: Eukaryota; Metazoa; Chordata; Actinopteri; Perciformes; Cyclopteridae.
GGAGAUGUAAAAAACUCAUCAGGAAUAGAAAUAAAGUGGAGGCAGUUCCACCGAUGGCCUUAAGUGCUGAGGCAAACCACAUUGGUGAUGUAAUCCCAUCUGGAAGAAAACCUGGGGCACUCAAACGGCCACGAAUGGUCAGUCUGAAGGAGUUUCAAAAGCUUAUCAAACGCCAACACUCAAAAACAAGGAAGUCAAAAGAAAGCCAGGACAAGAAAACAAGUGAAACUGCAAAAGUUGUAGAAUGUGAGGAAGGGAAGACUUGUGGUCGCAAAUUUGAAGAAUCAACUAACGGGACAGAAAUGUACAUUGCUCAGCCUCAGAACAGGGACAGGGUUAAAGAGUGUCACGCCGUCUUCAAUGUCACAGUUGAUAAAAAUCACAAUCAAAUUGUGAACAAAUCAGCAGCUGAGUAUGACGAAUCACAGAGAGAUGAGACAAGCAGCUCCACUAUUAAUGAGACCUGUUGGUUGGGUGAUGAGUCCCUUCCGGUGGUUUCCUUCAAUGUUGAAGGUCUCUUUGUUGAAGAGGCCGAGUUACCAGCUGAGACGGAGAAGCCACUGAAGCAUCCUGAUGAAGCACAAACAGCCUGUGAGGAAGGCGUGUCAGAUAAACCACAGCAGACUGAAGGAUUGUCUCACAGUUACACACAUCUGCCUCAAGAAGACAAAAUGCCUUUGGUGCACAACUUGAACUCCCGGAUCCCUGAGAGAACUAGUCCACCUCGGUUGGGCGCUGUCGGGUUCGGCAGGAGCUCCGGCUGUGAUCAAGAGGAAGAGGAGGAAGAGGAAGAGGAGGUAGACGUACUUCUUUUCUCUCCAGACAAAGUGACUCUGACUGAAGUGUUUGAGAAUGGACUCGACAACAUGGAAAUAACUCCUGAGGAAGAAGAGGAGGAAGAUGUGAUUGAGAUUGAUGUAACUGGAGAUUAGGCAGAAUAACCUUUGUAUUUGUGCAUAGUUUUUACUAUGUUGUGUGAGCAUUAUGUUCUUGCUGUUGGGGUUUUUAUGUAUGUUUGCAAAGAUGUCAGACAAAGUAAAUUUUGCUGUGAAGCUAUGUACAAUAGAUUUUUAUGUCCUUCCUUUUCCGUUUUCAUCACCAGUUUGGCAAUUAUAAGCUGUGUGCACGCAAGGAUGUGUGCUGGUUUUACCUUCAUUUUGUUCCAUAUGCAAGGUUUAAAUGCUUGUUUAAUUUUCAUUAAUAAUAUGCUUAAGAAUUGGUUACACAAGAAAAAAAGUUCUUACUAUUCCUGUUUUUCAAUAAUUGUAUUAGUUUUGUAUUUUAUUUUUGUUUUCAGUACAUUUUGAAUUGACUAAUUAAGGUAAAAGCACUUUAGCGGCAUUGUGUCUCUGAAAGUGUCUGUUGUUGACCUUAUUUUGAGCUUGUAUUUGUAAAGCACAUCGUGUUGUGUAAAUUACAUAAUUAUAG